UACGUAGGCAGCGAGCGUUGUUCGGAGUUACUGGGCGUAAAGGGUGUGUAGGCGGUUGUUUAAGUUUGGUGUGAAAUCUCCCGGCUCAACUGGGAGGGUGCGCCGAAUACUGAGCGACUAGAGUGCGGGAGAGGAAAGUGGAAUUCCUGGUGUAGCGGUGAAAUGCGUAGAUAUCAGGAGGAACACCGGUGGUGUAGACGGCUUUCUGGACCGUAACUGACGCUGAGACACGAAAGCGUGGGUAGCAAGCAGG
RNAcentral lists this ribosomal RNA (253 nucleotides) under uncultured bacterium. RNAcentral describes it as "partial 16S ribosomal RNA". It matches the Rfam family "Bacterial small subunit ribosomal RNA", at positions 524 to 776 of the family's 1533-position model. The record is from RNAcentral.